RNAcentral lists this ribosomal RNA (473 nucleotides) under Flavobacterium sp. WB3.4-18. Its description in RNAcentral is "bacterial SSU rRNA". It matches the Rfam family "Bacterial small subunit ribosomal RNA", at positions 10 to 484 of the family's 1533-position model. The record is from RNAcentral. Lineage: Bacteria; Pseudomonadati; Bacteroidota; Flavobacteriia; Flavobacteriales; Flavobacteriaceae.
AGUUUGAUCCUGGCUCAGGAUGAACGCUAGCGGCAGGCUUAACACAUGCAAGUCGAGGGGUAUAGUUCUUCGGAACUAGAGACCGGCGCACGGGUGCGUAACGCGUAUGCAAUCUACCUUUUACAGAGGGAUAGCCCAGAGAAAUUUGGAUUAAUACCUCAUAGUAUAUAGCCCUGGCAUCAGGAUUAUAUUAAAGUCACAACGGUAAAAGAUGAGCAUGCGUCCCAUUAGCUAGUUGGUAAGGUAACGGCUUACCAAGGCUACGAUGGGUAGGGGUCCUGAGAGGGAGAUCCCCCACACUGGUACUGAGACACGGACCAGACUCCUACGGGAGGCAGCAGUGAGGAAUAUUGGACAAUGGGCGCAAGCCUGAUCCAGCCAUGCCGCGUGCAGGAUGACGGUCCUAUGGAUUGUAAACUGCUUUUAUACGAGAAGAAACAUCCCGACGUGUCGGGACUUGACGGUAUCGUAAG